UGAAGCCGGAAUUGCUAGUAAUGGCAGGUCAGCAUACUGCCGUGAAUACGUUCCCGGGCCUUGUACACACCGCCCGUCACACCAUGAGAGUUGGGGAUACCCGAAGCCUGUGAGCCAACAGUUAAAUGGGGCAGCAGUCGAAGGUAGAAUCAAUGAUUGGGGUGAAGUCGUAACAAGGUACC
This 182-nucleotide ribosomal RNA is filed under the name uncultured bacterium. RNAcentral's name for it is "partial 16S ribosomal RNA". It matches the Rfam family "Bacterial small subunit ribosomal RNA", at positions 1321 to 1500 of the family's 1533-position model. The record is from RNAcentral.